RNAcentral lists this ribosomal RNA (842 nucleotides) under Raffaelea sp. RNAcentral's name for it is "partial large subunit ribosomal RNA". It matches the Rfam family "Eukaryotic large subunit ribosomal RNA", at positions 87 to 944 of the family's 3401-position model. Lineage: Eukaryota; Fungi; Ascomycota; Sordariomycetes; Ophiostomatales; Ophiostomataceae. The record is from RNAcentral.
CGGCGAGUGAAGCGGCAAAAGCUCAAAUUUGAAAUCUGGCCCCCCCCGCGGGGGUCCGAGUUGUAAUUUGCAGAGGAUGCUUUGGGCGCGGCGCCUUCCGAGUGCCUUGGAACAGGUCGCCUCAGAGGGUGAGAGCCCCGUACGGUUGGACGCCUAGCCCGUGUAAAGCUCCUUCAACGAGUCGAGUAGUUUGGGAAUGCUGCUCAAAAUGGGAGGUAAAUUCCUUCUAAAGCUAAAUACUGGCCAGAGACCGAUAGCGCACAAGUAGAGUGAUCGAAAGGUGAAAAGCACUUUGAAAAGAGAGUCAAAUAGCACGUGAAAUUGUUAAAAGGGAAGCGUCUGCGACCAGACGCGCCGCCCGCGGCUCACCCGGCGCCUCGGCGCCGGGGCACGCCGCGGGCGUCGGGCCAGCAUCGGCUCUGCCGUGGGUACAAGGACCGCGGGAACGUAGCUCCCUCGUGGAGUGUUAUAGCCCGCGGCACCAUGCCCGCGGCGGGGCCGAGGACCGCGCCCGCAAGGGCAAGGAUGCUGGCGUAAUGGCCGCCGGCGACCCGUCUUGAAACACGGACCAAGGAGUCAAGCAGUGGGGCGAGUGUACGGGUGCCAAACCCGCGCGCGAAAUGAAAGUAAACGCAGGUGGGAGCCUCCGGGCGCACCACCGACCGAUCCUGACGUUCUCUGAUGGAUUUGAGUAGGAGCCCUACUGCUUGGACCCGAAAGAUGGUGAACUAUGCCUGUAUAGGGUGAAGCCAGAGGAAACUCUGGUGGAGGCUCGCAGCGGUUCUGACGUGCAAAUCGAUCGUCAAAUAUGGGCAUGGGGGCGAAAGACUAAUCGAACCAUC